This 447-nucleotide ribosomal RNA is filed under the name uncultured bacterium. RNAcentral's name for it is "partial 16S ribosomal RNA". It matches the Rfam family "Bacterial small subunit ribosomal RNA", at positions 29 to 523 of the family's 1533-position model. The record is from RNAcentral.
AGCGAACGCUGGCGGCAGGCUUAACACAUGCAAGUCGAACGCCCCGCAAGGGGAGUGGCAGACGGGUGAGUAACACGUGGGAACGUACCCUUUGGUUCGGAAUAACUUGGGGAAACUCAAGCUAAUACCGGAUAAGCCCUUAUGGGGAAAGGUUUACUGCCGAAGGAUCGGCCCGCGUCUGAUUAGCUAGUUGGGGAGGUAAUGGCUCACCAAGGCGACGAUCAGUAGCUGGUCUGAGAGGAUGAUCAGCCACACUGGGACUGAGACACGGCCCAGACUCCUACGGGAGGCAGCAGUGGGGAAUAUUGGACAAUGGGGGCAACCCUGAUCCAGCCAUGCCGCGUGAGUGAUGAAGGCCUUAGGGUUGUAAAGCUCUUUUACCCGGGACGAUAAUGACUGUACCGGGAGAAUAAGCCCCGGCUAACUUCGUGCCAGCCGCCGCCGUAA